UCACUCGGCUCGUGUGUCGAUGAAGAGCGCAGCCAACUGUGUGAAUUAAUGCAAACUGCAUACUGCUUUGAACAUCGACAUCUUGAACGCAUAUUGCGGCCAUGGGUUAGCCUGUGGCCACGCCUGUCCGAGGGUCGGCUUAUAAACUAUCACGACGCCCAAAAAGUCGUGGCUUGGGUUUUGCCAGCUGGCGUGAUCUCCUCUAUGAGUAAUCAUGUGAGGUGCCAGAUCUAUGGCGUUUCCCUAAUGUAUCCGGAUGCACCCUUGUCUUGGCAGAAAGCCGUGGUGAGGUGCAGUGGCGGAAUCGUGGUUUAAUAAUCGGGUUGGUACUCAGUUGUCAGUGUGUUCGGCGAUCCCCUAGUCGGCACACUCAUGAUUUCUGGGAUAAUUCCAUACCAGGCACGUUCCGUUACUGUUACUUUGUCAUUGGUUUGAUGCUGAACUUGGUCAUGUGUCUGAUGCUAUUUCAUAUAACGACGGUACCCUUCGUGGUCUGUCUUCCU
RNAcentral lists this ribosomal RNA (503 nucleotides) under Fasciola gigantica. RNAcentral describes it as "eukaryotic LSU rRNA". The stretch from base 1 to 137 matches the Rfam family "5.8S ribosomal RNA", at positions 17 to 154 of the family's 154-position model. Lineage: Eukaryota; Metazoa; Platyhelminthes; Trematoda; Plagiorchiida; Fasciolidae. The record is from RNAcentral.